This 8877-nucleotide long non-coding RNA is filed under the name Gossypium barbadense (sea-island cotton). RNAcentral describes it as "long non-coding RNA (GBAR_LNC020994)". Lineage: Eukaryota; Viridiplantae; Streptophyta; Magnoliopsida; Malvales; Malvaceae. The record is from RNAcentral.
AAACUAAUCACAAACCAAAACCAGAAAACAAAUAUCGGAGACAUGUCAUACAAAUAUUUAAAAUUUUGCAACAGGCUAAAAAUAAAAGAACUAGUUGACAAAAGAUUGACAUACUUGGAAUGUAAGAGCCCAUUUUUGCCCGGGCCCAAAUAUUAAAAAUUACAGUCCAUUAACAAAAAUAGACCCAAUCCAAAAGCCCAAAACUAAUAACAGCCCAAUAGCCCACAAGACUUAAAAAUUUUCAGCCAAACCCUAAGUUCCCUAGCGCCGCAAGCUUCCAUGCGUGGCCUCCUCAUCUGCCACACCUCCGACGCACGCCUCUGCCACUGCGUCUGACACCUCAGCCGCCUCUACCAUUGCUACCUGCAAGGAAAGGUGAACACGCAACAACCAAGAAGCCAAGCACAAGCAGACAACAGAAACAAACAAAAAUAGUAGAAUAGAGAGUUGUUCAAAUCGGCUAUAAAGGCCUAGAUCAGAUCCUUGUAUUUUUUUACGCACACCAGUUAAUCGAAAAGGUUGAACCAUCUUUUUUUUUUCUCUCUGUUUUCCGUUUCUUUUCAUUUUUUAUUUUAUUUAUUUGUCCAAAUCUUUUAAAAAUUAGUUUAAUAAAUAAUAAAAGGAUAAGAAACGGAAAAAAAAUCGUACCUGGAAUCGCCCCGUAGGCCGCCGCCGGAGAUCUCUUUCUUAUCAUCGGAUUCGGGUCAAAAGGGGCGCACGGGUUCCCUUUUCUUCGGCCUUCAGGUCAGGAAGGCCUGGCCUUCGAGCGUUUCUAAACGUGGCUGAAAAGCGCAUCUCUUUGUGUCGUCGGUAGCUAGUCGACGGCGGCAUAGCCAAUCGCCGAAGGAACCCCAGGCCGGAAGAGGGGACUGCGUGAGAAAGAGGCCAUGGGGACUCUGUGUUUUUUUUAAAAUAAUGUUAAACUACUUUUUGGUGGUCUUUUAGUUUUUAUAUCAGGCAUAAUACGGCGCCGUUUGAAGGGGAGACCUGCGCAUUUUUGCCCUAAUGGGUAAUUCGCGCCUUUGGUCCCUCUAAUUCUGCGGCACCUUCAAUGUAGCCUUUUAUUUUACUAAAUUUCGGCCACAGAAUUUUGCGCCUGUUUCAAUCCAGUCCUGCGCAAGAACAAUGCGCAUAAGGGAUGGGGAAUAUGCACAAUCAGUCCCUCAUGUCCUCAGCGCAUUUCAUUUCGGUCCCUCGCUCCAUUUUUUUUGAAUUUUUUAAUUAUGCUCCUCAAUUUUAUUCUGAUUCCAAUCAUGCCCUUUACCUUUUAGCUCCAUUUUUUUAUAUAUAUUCUUUAAAACUUUUUCUUUUAUUAUUUAGGAUUUUCUUUUAUGCAUUAUUUUAUUUCAAAUUGUUUUAGAUCAAUUAGUAUUUAUCUCAAAUUUUAUAUUUUAUUUAUUUCAAAUAUAUGUGUGUGCACUAUCCAUUUUAAAUUUAUAUGUACCAUGUAAUUUAAAUUGUUUCUCAUGCUAUUUAUUUUGAUAUUCUUUAGAUUGUUCAUUUCCAAACUGCUUUAUUUUUAUUUAUUUCAAGUUUUUAUAAAUUAAGUACUUUAUACAUUAUUUUAUCUCAUGAUGAAAUAUGUUAUAUAUAUUAUAUAUAUGUUAAUUAUUUUGAAAUUGUUUUAUACUUUUUUUACUCUAUUUUUUUUCCUUUAAAUGUUUUAUUUAUUAUCCAUUUUAAGAUUAUUUGUCCUUAUUUCACGAUUUUUGCAUGUACAUAUGCAUUAUUCAUUUUAAAAUUUUUCAUAUAUAAUAUUUUUGAAUUAUUUUGUAUAUAGUUGAUUCUCAAAUUUCCCCUUUUUUACAAUAUUUAUUUAAAACUUGUUUAUUAUUAUUUUAAAAUUGUUCUACAUUUUAUUUAUUUUAAUUUGUUCUAUACCACUCAUUUUGAAAUUGUUAUAUAUGUUAUUUAAUUCAUUCGUCUUUAAUUAUUAAUACUAGUAUUCAAAUAAUGUAUGUUGAGUGUGUAUUGUCACUGUGUGUACCAUAAUUAGUUUACUCGUAUUUUCAUAUUAUUGUCAUACAUUUGUGUAAUUAUUCAUGUAUCAUUAUUCCAUGUUUAUUAUUAUAUUGUUAUUUCACGUCAUUAUAUUGUAAAUUAAACUCCGAUAUAGUUAUCCAACUUAGGUUACUUUAUUUUAUUCCAAACAAAAUAAAUGCUUACCUUCAAAUAGAUUACCCGCUAGUAUUCGAAAUGGAAUUUUGCUAAAUAAGGCAAUAUUUUACAUUUUGGAAAUUCGAGAAAUUGUACCCUAACUUAUUGGGUCUCGAUUUUCUCAUUAAACCUAAAUAGCAAAAUAUCCUUUUAAAUUUCCAAACACAUAAAAUUCUAAAAAUAAAGGUAAUAUUCUAUAUUUAGAAAAUUCGAGAAAUCGUGCCCUAACUUACUGGGCUUUGAUUUUUCUCGUUGAUUUUAAGUAACCGAAUAUCCUUUUAAAAUUAAAUAAAUGAGGUUUAAAUAAAAAGUGAAAUGCAAACUCACUCUCAAAAUAUGAGAUGUCGGGUCCUAACUUACUGGGUGUGACAUCUUGUUACUUCGAGAUAAUGAGGCAUUUUCCAUUUUUGAUUUAAUUAAAGCAUUUCAAAAUCAACAUUAAUAAAAGAGGAUCGUAUUUUAAAUCUUUUCAAACUUUCAGCUUUCGACAUAAAGACAUUAAAUAAUCAACUAAGGUACCAAUUUUGGGCGUAUCGAGGGUGCUAACUCUUCCUCAUGCGUAAUUGACUCCCGAACCCAUUUUCUAAAUUUCGUAGACCCAAAUCGUUGUUUUGAUAAAAUCAAAUCGUUUAUUAAAAACAACCACUUUUUAAGGUGAUCCGGUCACACCUCAUCAAAAAGGAUUGGUGGCGACUCCUGUUUUUGUUUUCAUUUUUAAAAUCCAAGUCGACCCCGUUUUAAUCAAAAAAAUGGCGUCAAUAGCUUGGCGACUCCACUGGGGACUAAAAAGAAAGUCAAGCCACGAGUUGAUUAAUUUUUGUCUUUUUGUUGAAAAUUGAAAAUUUGGUUUAAAUGUACGAUCCUUUCGUUGCAUUUUGUCCAUCGUUUUUGUGGUCUUUAAUGUGUUUACCUUUUUUGUUCAGGCCUUUUGAUAUUUCUGCAAAUUGCAUUGCAUGAUCGUGGGUCGCACCUUUUAAGUGGGAGUGAGAAAUUAGUCAUUCGUGAGGUUUUCACCUCUGUGCAGGAUAAUGGAUCGCUUUUGGGAUACAUCCGUACCUAUGUCUUCGUGAGAUUUUUAUCUUCAUGCAACCAUAGGGAAAUGUAUUCUCCUGAACUAAACUCGGUCCGUAUGAGCCUAUAAUGGGUAAGAAUUGAGGAAUCUGCUGGUUCGGGUACCUCGACUUUAGAACCAAACCGCAUAUAAUGAGCCAUAGGAGCCUACCCUAGGUAGAACCACCUCGAUCCCUAGUAGUUUCCUGAAUAGUAGCUUUAAUUAUUAUUUCUUGUAUACUUUGAAUUUUAGUUUAUUUUUAUACUGACUUGCUUUGCUUUUACCUUGAUUGUGAUUGCAUGGCAUUCUCAUCAUAAAAGAGGUGUUGAUCCGCGUUCAGUAUUUAAAUAAAGAGCUCAACAUGGAAAGGGAGUUUCUUGGUAAAGUCGAAGAUAGUGCGGUAGUCUGAGUUUGGUCUGAAAAAGUUCAGCAAGAAAAGGGUGAUAGCCUCAUGGAAGGAUACGUGUCAGAGCUAUGGGAUUUCACUCGAAUCAGUGUAACUCAAAACAACCUACAAGAAUUGAAGGAAAUUUUGGAUUAGUGGGGUGAUGAGAUCAGACAGCUCUUCUACAGUAACUAUGGUGAUUUGCCUUAUCUACUCGAUGUAAAGGUAGACAAACACUUGUUCCGAGCCCUUGUGCAGUAUUGGAAUCCCGCCUACAGUUGUUUCACAUUUGGGAAAGUAGAUUUGGUACCCACGAUAGAAGAAUAUACGACCUUGCUUCGAUGUCCGAGGAUCUAAGUUGAUAGGGCCUAUUCGAGAGCAGCAUAUGUCCCGACAUUCUUGAAGAAAUUAAUGAGUAUUACAGGAAUGAGCGAGCAAUGGGUUGCGGCCCGAAUUAAGCAAAAGAGAGACAGCAAGUGCAUGGCUUGGAAAAAUCUGCGAGAUCUGAUCUUGGCACAUCUAGAUGUGAGAAAAAGGGUCGAUAUUUUCGCUUUGAGCAUUUAUGGUUUGGUCAUUUUCCCCAAGGCGUUAGGGCAUAUGGACGAAGCAGUUUCAGAUUUGUUUGACAGGCUUGAAAAGAGGGUCACACCAGUCCCAGCAAUUUUGGCUGAAACCUUCAGAUCUCUAAAUGCGUGUCGAAGAGCAGGUGAAAGAAGGUUCGUCGGAUGCGCGCAACUGUUAUUGGUAUGGUAUCAUAGUCACUUUUGGAAAGUAGAGAAGAUCACUUAUCGGGUUUUCUCAGAAAACUACUCCCCAUUAAAGGAACUAGUGGCUAUACCAAGACAAGACGAUAUCACGGAAGAGAAAUGGAUCAUGAUUCUCCAAAAUCUUCAAGAGGAGGAUGUCGAGUGGAGAGCCCCGUGGAUGAUCCCUAAUGAGAUUUUGUAUCGAUGUGGAGAGUUCGAUUUAGUUCCUUUGCUAGAAAUUUGGAGAGCCAUUGGAUACGCCCCUCUGCUAGUCUUGAGGUAGUACAGAUCUAGACAGUUCAUACCGGUGGCACAAGAGUUGGCCAGUGUGAAUUUUCAUUCAAAGAAGAUAAUUACAAGAAGAAGGUUCGUGAAAUAUCAAAUGCUUGGAACCAAAUCCAUAGAAUGAAGGUACUUGCUGUAAACCCAAUGACAACUCCCGAAUAUAGUUUGUGGUGGGGAAGAAGGAUCAAUGAUAACAUCCCCGUAUCAAGCCAAGAAGAUGUUCGACCGAUAGAAGAGCAUCUACAAGUGGUUCCGUUAGAACUAGAGAUCAUUAAACAAGACUUUAAAAGGAGAAGUUCCGAGCUGGCUAAGAAAAUUGAGCAACUAGAAGAGGAAAAGAUACGUUUGGGAUUAGAUGUCGAUAUUCACAAGUUGGAAGCUGAAAAAUUAAGGAAAGGGAAGAACAAGGCUGAAGAAGAUUUAGAUAGUCUAAAAAUGGAUUAUAAGAAGUUACGUUUGUCGAUGAGAAUAGUGGGUUUGGGAAAAACAUCGGAGCAAUGGCGGCAGGAGAUCAAAGAAGAAAGGACCAAGGCUGAUCAGUGGGAGAAGAAAUUUCAUGACACCCGAGCUUGAGAGAGCGCUUUGGAGAAAAGCUUGUUAGAAUGUCAGAAUGAAAAAGCAAGGUUAAAAGCCCGGGUAACAGAAUUAGAAAAGUCGUUUCACCUACACCGUAAUCGCAACUCUCUGAUCGAAUUGAGAGCAAGUUUAAGUAAGAUCGAAGAACUAAAGGGAAGGAUAGGAGAGCUCGAAGACGCAUUACAAGAUUCUAAACUGUGAGUGGAGCUUCUGGAGAGGAGUAAUGAGCAAUGGUAAGAUCAAUUCCAUCAUUCUCAAAGUCAGAUUAGAUAUAGAGAUUACAUUAUGGGCGAAGCCGUGACUUAAGUACGAGAAGUAGCGGAUCAUCUACAAACCCUAGCCGUUCAGGCUGAUGUAUUGAGUUUAAAUUAUGAAUCAGAAUUAAGCCAAGGUCGAGAGUUAGCUUGGCUCCUGAGGAGUGUUAAGGCUUUGAGUAUAAAGGCGAAGCCGUAUAUGUAGUCCAUUUUAUGUAAAGAAAUUUGUUUUCUAAAUCGAGUUCUUCUAAUAAAAUUGAAUUAGAAUCAAUGCCCCUUUUGCAUUCAUGCAUCUACAUUACAUUACAUUACAUUACAUUACAUGCAUUAAGUUUCAUAAAAGGACCCUAAUAAAUUAAAAUUAUGACAGUUACCCUGGAAACCAGCAAAAAUCCACCAAUUAAAUAUCACUACGGUACUCAUCACCAAACGAAAGCAAUGGAUCAGUGGUUAGAAAGAUUGGAACAAUUACAAAAGGAGAUGCAAGAUCAGAUGCAGGAACGACUGGAUAAAAUCCAAUAAGACAUGCAAGAAUCCCAGAACACUAUGAUGAACCAAUUAAAACAGUUAUUGGCUGGAGGGAACGAUAAAGGAAAAAGCCUUGUAGUUGAUGCUGGGGAGGAUCACGAUGACCCUGCUUAUCCUCCAGGUUUCACCCCAACUAACAUCCAAGCACAACUAGAGGCGUACCCGUAGAGGGUACCUGUUACCAUUAGACCUCAAUAUCUGGCUGGUGCCUUGGUACCAGUGCAUUUUCAAACAGGCUCGGGUUCUAAUAUCAGGAAUAACCUCACCAAUCCUGUGGUCCCGGAUCUUGAUGACGUGGCAGAAAUAGAAAAGGCAAGAAUGGACCUGCCAAAACAACUAGAGGACUUAUGUAGAUGGCUAGAGGAAAAAUUUAGAGCCAUGGAGAACAUCGACUAUCAUUGUGAAGUUGACGCCAAGGAUCUGAGCUUGGUCCCUGAUUUAGUACUCCCACCUAAGUUCAAGAUGCCGGAGUUCGAAAAAUAUAACGGGACUAGUUGUCCUGAAGCUCAUAUAACUAUGUUCUGUCGAAGAAUGAUAGGAUACGUCAACAAUGAUCAGUUGUUAAUCCACUGCUUCCAGGACAGUUUGAUCGGGUCUGCAGCCAAGUGGUACAACCAGCUGAGUCGUGCUAAAGUUAGUUCAUAGAGAGACUUGGCGCAAGCUUUUAUGAAACAAUACAGUCAUGUUACGAACAUAACACCCGAUCGAAUUACAUUACAGAAUAUGGAAAAAAAGCCUAGUGAGAGUUUCAAGCAGUACACCCAGAGAUGGAGAGAGGUGGCAACACAAGUCCAGCCACCCCUGUUGGAAAAAGAGGUCACCAUACUUUUUAUUAAUACUUUGAAAGCCCCAUUCAUCAACCACAUGUUGGGGAGUGCUACCAAGAGCUUCUUGGAUAUGGUAAUGUCUGAUGAAAUUAUUAAAAAUGCAAUAAGAAGCGGUAAAAUAGACGCGGGGGAAAGCUCCAAAAGACCAGCCCCGAGGAAAAAAGAAAGCGAGGUAAACAACGUAAGCACGUGUAGCAAGAGUUAUUCGAAACCAAUUACUGUUGGCCCUCCAAGAACGAUAGCCACUAGUCACCAAGGCCCCUCAAGGCAGGAGCCCAACACAAGGCCUAACACAAAGAGACUUCAAUUCAAGCCCAUUCCAAUAACAUACAAGGAACUGUAUCAGAAGCUAUUUGAUACACACAUAGUAUCUCCAUUUUAUAUAAAACCCAUGCAACCUCCAUACCCCAAAUGGUAUGACAUAAAUGCCCAAUGUGAAUACCAUGCAGGGAUACUAGGACACUCAAUUGAAAACUGUACUAGGUUUAAAAAGGCGGUGGAAAGAUUCAUUAAGAUGGGAAUUGUAAAGUUUGACAACCUAUCAGGACCAGACGUGGCAGGGAAUUCGUUACCCAAUCAUUCUGAUAAAGGGGGAAACGCGAUAAUCGAGGGCGGGAGAAAGAGAAUCAAGGUCGACAUUGCAGAGAUAAAAACCCCACUGAGUUGGGUUUGGAGACAAAUGAUAGAGGGAGGUCUCAUCAAACAAGAUUCAAAGGAAAGGCUCGAAGGAACGAGGACGUACUGCGAGUUUCAUGCCGAAUAGGGCCAUGACAUCCAAAAAUGCGCCGAGUUCAAAAUCAUGGUACAAAAUCUGAUGAACAACAAAGAGGAGGAAUUUUAUGAAGAGAUCAAAGGACUAGAAGAAUGAGAAGUCUAUGCCUCGGAGGAAGGACCUACGGGAAAGGCCCAAAAUCACCCAGUGGUGAUUAUUUCGAGGCCAAUGAGCACAGGAUCUGGAAUACAAAUGGCGCCAAGGGUCAUAAUCCAAAAACCGGUAUCCUUUCCUUACAAGGAUAGUAAAAAGGUUCCUUAGAAUUAUGACUGUAACGUGACAAUCUCGGGUGAGGAGAACCCGGUAAACGCUUCAGAAGAGGGUAGUGAUGUAGGCUUCUAUGCUCGUAGUGGAAAACGCUACGAUCCAGCAAAUGCAAGAGUGGGGACCAUAAAUGGAAAAGCCUUAGCAAUUGAAGCAAAGACGGCUAGAAUUGAAGUCGUAUCUUUCUAAAGAUGCCGUGAAGUGGAUCAAAGCGAUAAGACACAGUGGACUGGAAGGAGGCUUUGAAGAAGAGAAGCACCCAAAGAAGUCAAGACUAGGCAGGGCCAAGCAAAAUUGGCUCUUUUAAGGUCUUUGCUCUAUUCUCGUUACACAACAAUGAGUAAAGAGGGGCAGCUGUAAGAGCCCAUUUUUUCCCGGGCCCAAAUAUUAAAAAUUACAGUCCAUUAACAAAAAUAGACCCAAUCCAAAAGCCCAAAACUAAUAACAGCCCAAUAGCCCACAAGACUUAAAAUUUUUUACCCAAACCCUAAGUCCCCUAGCACCGUAAGCUUCCAUGCGUGGCCUCCUCGUCUGCCACACUUCUAACGCACGCCUCUACCACUACGUCUGACACCUCGGCCGCCUCUACCACUGCUACCUGCAAGGAAAGGUGAACAUGCAACAACCAAGAAGCCAAGCACAAGCAAACAAUAGAAACAAACAAAAAUAGUAGAAUAGAGAGUUGUUCAAAUCGGCUAUAAAGGCCUAGAUCAGAUCCUUGUAUUUUUUACGCGCACCAGUUAACCGAAACAGAACAUUGAUUCGAAAAGGUUGAACCAUCUUUUUUUUCUCUUUCUGUUUUCCGUUUCUUUUCAUUUUUAUUGUAUUUAUUUAUUUAUCCAAAUUUUUUAAAAAUCAGUUUAAUAAAUAAUAAAAGGAUAAGAAAAGGAAAGAAAUCGUACCUGGAAUUUCCCCGCAGGCCACCGCCGGAGAUCUCUUUCUUAUCAUCGGAUUCGGGUCAAAAGGGGCGCACGGGUUCCCUUUUCUUCGGCCUUCAGGUCAGGAAGGCCUGGCCUUCGAGCGUUUCUAAAC